Long non-coding RNA from Herpailurus yagouaroundi (jaguarundi), 1996 nucleotides. RefSeq lists it as uncharacterized. The record is from RefSeq and is a predicted model, not a curated record. The transcript is spliced from 2 exons. Lineage: Eukaryota; Metazoa; Chordata; Mammalia; Carnivora; Felidae.
GAGGAGCAACAGCCCUCGGGGAAAGAAAGCCAGAGGGUGCCUCCAUCGACGGUAGCCAAGCCUGAGGGUCCCAGCGAGCUGGGGGACACGCGUCCCAUCUUGGCGUUUCCCCAGCGAUCGCCAGAGGUGGAAGGUGGGCGUGAUGACUGGAGCUGGAGCAACCAUUUUGAGCCACAAAGAGGAAGCCUCGUGUUAAAGUAUGAGAACAACGAGCUAGAAAGAACCUGGGCCCCUGGACUCCUUCACAGCAGUUUCUGACUCGGUGAGCGAGAAAGACGCUCCCGUUGUGUUUGUUUAAGCCGUCUUUAAAUUUUGAGUUUUCUCUUUCUCAGGGUAGAAUGAAUCCUGAUAUACUAGUGGUGUGGCCUUGAGCAAAUUUGCUCAAUCUCCCUGGGUCUCAGGAACCUCCUCAACAAAAUAGGUUUAAAAAUCCCAAACCCUUAGAAAUGUGAGGACUCAAGAACACAACACGGUAGUUCUCUGCUGCCUCUGAUACAUUUUGUGAUGACGCCCUAGAAAUACAGGUCUUCAGGACCCAUGCUGAAGCAUUUGAAUCACCAGGUCUGACACGGGGGCCCGACGAUGUCCAUUUUUGUCAAGUCUCCCAAGUGACGUGAUACUCAGCCAGCUUUGGGAAGCAUGUUGCUGAGAGAUCCAUCUCCUUUCCCUGCUUUCGAAGUCAGAGUUAAGAGAUGUGGCGUGCACACAUCAUACAAGGGGGCUCGCCCACGUGGAGGGGGCCUUACUAAGCCUCCAGCCCGCCCCCCGACCCCUGCACUGCAAAUGCCCAUCAGCCCUCACCCUCCCCGGAGGAAGGACUGAUCUGCUGGUUAACGACAGUGUGAGCCAUCAGCAGCCACCAGCUGCUCAGUCCCAUCUGAACCGCUCGCUCUGAAUUUCUGUUUAAAAUGCAGCAGCGUCCGUGGAUUAUGGCUUGCUGGUUUACAUGCUCAUGAUGGAUCUUUUAAUCUAAUUAAGGGAAGGCAAAGAUUUUCCCCUGGCGCUAUCAGCUGCAGAGAGCUCUGAUUUUUAAGCAUAGCAUACUAACUGAGAGCACUUAUAGGUGCAGGAAAAUCUGGGCCCUGAUGCUGGCUGUGUGUCCCUGAACAAAUCACUUAACUUCUCUGAAGAGCUAGCUUUCACCUCCACGAGCCAGUCUUUGGGCCAAGCCCUUUGCACGCAUAGACCCGCCCCACCAACAGCCCAUGAGGCAGGUGUCUUCAUGAUUCCCAUUUUACAGACGGGGAAACGGAGGCUCAGAGGGGCUACCUAAAUAGCCCAGACCACACAGGGAGUAAAUGGUGUGACUAUGAUAGAACAACACUAUCUGGCUGAUGGACCGGGCAGAGAGUGAAAUCGUCGAGUGUCUCUGGAGAGUUUAGCACGGCUGUGACCCACUAGGUUUAACAUUCCCCGUUGUAACAAUUAGCUACUAUUGUUACUGUCAUGAUUAUGAGGUUGUCACCGAUGGAGGUGGCAUGGGAGCCAGGGAGCACGGAAUCAUCCAGGAAAAACAGUGCUCCCGUCCAGGUGGAGGAGCGCGGGAGAGAGAACAAGAUCGACGGAGGGCUGCUGUCGUCCCACAGAGCUGCCUGUCCUGGUCCAGAUUGGAGCUGAUGGCUCGGGAGAUGGUUGUCUCAUUGGACACUGUGUCUUAACUAUGAUGUAUUUCAGAGCACAUUUCAGACAACGGGAGCAAACACCUCAGCGUUUCUGUAAAGCUGCAGAGUCACUUGGGCCACUGAAACUCGUCCUGGAAGUUCCAUGUGUGUGGUUCAGAUGGACACAGCAUCCCCGAAAUGGAAACAGAGGUGGGAUCUGGGCCCUUGACUCCCAGAACUGUCUUCUCAUCUGAGCGGAUACCCAGGAGCUUGGGGCUCUGAAAAGUAGAGUUUGAAAGUCAUUACUCUUACGGAAGAGGAAACUGAGGCUUGGUUGGGAGUAAGGUCACGUAUCCCAAGUCAUUCAUGCAUUAAUAAAAGACUGUUAAGCCUGA